GUGCUCACUUCGGCAGCACAUAUACCAAAAUUGGAAAUGAUACAGAGAAGAUUAGCAUGGCCCCCACAUAAGGAUGACAUGCAAAUUCUUGAAGCAUUCCAUAUAUUU
This 108-nucleotide small nuclear RNA is filed under the name Erinaceus europaeus (western European hedgehog). The record is from RNAcentral. Lineage: Eukaryota; Metazoa; Chordata; Mammalia; Eulipotyphla; Erinaceidae.